Vicugna pacos (alpaca) is the source of this 4456-nucleotide non-coding RNA. NCBI's taxonomy places the organism in Eukaryota, Metazoa, Chordata, Mammalia, Artiodactyla, Camelidae. The record is from RefSeq and is a predicted model, not a curated record.
AGGCAGCACCGCACCGACGGGGAGAGCAGGCCUCCGAGUUCCUGCUGAACCACUCAACAGCUUAAAAUACAACCAGCCCCUCUCACGGCCGGCCAGCUGCUGGGGGAGGGCUGAAAUCCUACCCUGUCCCCCGACCGGGCACCGGACCAGGACCCAGGAGGAGAGUAUCGGCCGUUGGGGGCCCCGACUGGCUGCUGGGAAGGAAGCUGGGCGGCAGGAGGGGCGGCCGGGACCGGGACCGGGGCCACGCUCCCAGCAGCCGCCGCUGCAGCUGUUGCCACCGCCCGCCGCCACCGCCGCACCCAGGCCCGCCGGAGGCCAGAGAGGAGCCGCAGCGCCCUGCAGAGGCCAGGGUCUGAAUGCCAAGGAUCCAGAGCCAGGAGAAGCUGGCGCAGCCCAGGAGCAUCUAGCCUUGGAGGACAUUCUUCGGGUGCUGAGUGCCCAGGCUGGCUGCUGUGACCAUAGAAGGCCCAAGAUGAAGGUGAUGCUGGGCCAAAACACAGUGAGGACUCUGGGUUUCAAGCUCUUUGACCAGCAGGUCCCUGGUGCCCAGUUACAGGCUGUGCCUUCAGGGCCUCCCGGGGGCGCUGUCCUGGCAGAGCAGCGCUGCGAGGCCCUGUUCUGUUGGAAGUGCCGCCACUAGUUUCAUCUAUCAGAUGCUUACCUUGCGCCAAGGACUGUGCUAAGACCUUUACCUGCAUAUCUCACCUAGCCUCCCUGGGCCUGUAAGCUAAAGACUGUGACCCCAGGUAGGCAGCUCAGAAACUAGGGCUCAGAAACAGGGGGGGGCCCUUGCUCACAGCACGUAGCCAGGAAGCGCCAGAGCCAGUGCCAACCCAGCCUCCUUGGGCCCAAAGAAUCCCAUCACUCACCACACAAAGCAAUACCUCCUCCACGCUGAAGAACAGGGCUAAACGCUAACAAAAAAAAAGGGGGGAACAAACCCUGGACCGAGUUAUCUGGAAGGCACCCUUCCCCGCUCCCUGCUGACAUUCCAGCUCCAGCACAUCCAGUCUUUGAAGGUCUGGUCUCUGCAGAACCUGUCAACUCCACAGGGAGGGCCACCGGGAGGCUGAGCCUGCCCCUCCCCUGGCCCCACCUCCUUUGGCCCCAGCAGAGUCAGGCCACACCAAGGGCAAAAGGCCUGUCACCCCCACGGAUACCACCCAGAGGGGCCCAGUCAGGGUCAGCAGCUGUCUCCACACUUCCCGCAAGGCUUCCUGCCACAGGCUAAAGCCACCAAUGAGCCCAGAGAGAUGAUGCCAUGGGGGGCAGGGGGGGCCUCCAACACUGAGCAACAGGCGUUGCUGCAGAGGCCAAAGUCAGACCAGCGUCCCUGUCUGAGCCCUGGCUUCUUUACCUGGUAAACAGAAUAUUCAUUAGAGGACCUGACAGAGAUGAUUCCGGUGGCAGAUGUGGGAGGGCCCUGCCCCACCCAGUGGCCCUGAACCCUGACUGCUCGUGAAACCCACACGAAGAGUCCUGGCCUGGACAACUUAGACAGAGACAUCGGGAUCUCUGAUGGAGGACCAGGCAUCUACAGCUUCAAAAGCUCCCAGGGAAAGAUGGAGGUAGCCAACUCCCCUGGGCUGACUUCCCCAAACAGGCUUCUGCCCUAUGGAUGAUGCCCCCCAAACCCUUACCACCCAGACCCUCCCACUUGGGCGUGAGCCAACCCGACCCCCUCGGUUGCUCCCCACCCCUUCCCUGCUCCCUCUCCCAGCACCAUCAAGCAAGGUUAGGUUGGCACUGUCACCCCACUUUACAGAUGAGGUGCCCGAGACUCAGAAGCACAAGUCACCAGCCCAAGGACACAAGUUACAAGCUCCAGGGGCAGGGCCCUGCCUGUUCUUGCUCUUGAGAGCUGAACGCUCUUCCUCCAGGGCUGUCCCUAGGGUCAGACCCCUGGAGGACAGUUCAGAUCCACACCCCUGCACCCCCUUUGCAGGUUCAAGGCUGGUGACCACAAGGUCUCUCUGCAUCUCUGGGCAGGAAGGAACUGUCGGGCCAGGAGGCUGGAAGAGGUGGAGAACCAGAACCCUAUGGAUGCAGGCUGACCUCGAGCUGACCACAGGCUGACAGGAGCAGCAGAAGGAGCUCACGAGGCCGACUCCCGAGCUGCGCCCAACAUGCCCAGCCCGAGUGCAGCGGGCAGAUCCUGCCCUUGAGCCUUCAUCAGCUGUUGCCCUCUCUGGAACUCAGAGGCCUGGCAUCAAGGACAUGGUGAGAAGUCCUAAAGGUGGAUCGCUGAUUCACAGGAGAGCAUGGUGGGAGGAAAGGCCUUUCAGUGUUUGCUUUUCAAGUCUUUCAACUGAUUGGAUGAGGCCCACCAGCCAUAUUGAAGGUUAUCUCCUGUAGUUAAAAGUCAACUGAUUAUAGGUGUUAACCUAAGCACAUCCACAAAUACCUUCACAGCUACACUUAGGGAAGUGUUUAAUUGAAUAAUUGGGUAUUACUGCCUAGCCAAAUCAAUGUAUAAGACUACCCAUCACAUCUUCCCUGAGUUGAGAGCCUAAACCUCUGCUCAGGCUUCUGUGGAGACCACUUUUCCAGUAACAUUCCAACGUGCCUAGUAAGUGUCCAGGUCAAAGAAUCAUAGCCAUAAAAAGAGAUGUUGAGGGUUUUUCUUUUUUUCGGGGCAGGGGAGGGUGUGAGGGGGUUAAACAAUUAAAACCCGAACAUGGCCCAGGCUUACUCAAGGAAGGGAGAGUCCCCAGCCCUAAAGUUGUCUCCAAACACAAGGACACUCCUUGCAUGAUGUUUUUGUCCCAGCCAGAGCUAUGUGAAACCUUUGGAGGCCGCCCCAUUUGUAACUAAAUUUAAAUUCAUAAGUGUGAGGAAGUCUACAAGCUCUGGGGUUUUCCCCAUGAUGACUCUCCCGCUAUCUAUUUGUGUAACUUAAAAAUCAAACUCUUCCCCCCAACCACCAUGAUUGGUUCAGGACUCCUGUUUUGCUGUGCUCCUGAGCACCCGGCCCAAACUCAUCCUCCCAGGUGGGCUGGUGUGUGUCCUAAUCUAGAGUCCGUACGACACGGUCACCCUGGGGUCUGUGAGUGGCCAGGCAGAGACGGCUGGAAUACCUCUGCUGGGCUGCAGAAGAAGGCCAUGGUCAUCUUAGGAAUUCUAGCUCGGGCAAGAGUGGGUGUUACCAGAAGCUUUUUUCUGUGAGGGCUGCCAGGAAGGGGGUAGUUCAACAGCCCACCAUUCAACCAGAUGGUUAUCACCCCUUUGAUAGCACUUCCUCUAGGCCAGGCCUGUCCUGGGCACUUCACAAAUGUUGACUCACACCAACCCCACAGCCCUGUGAGGCAGGUACAACUACUACCCACAUUGUACAGAUGAGGAAGCUAAGGCCCUGGAAGGCUCAAUAACCAGCCCAAGAUCACACAGCCAGGAAGUCUUGGAAUCAAGAAAGAAAACUGGCCGUCUGGCUCCAGAGUCCCUGUCACACCACCCACCCAGAACUCCCAAGCAGUUCUUCCAGGAACCUCUCCCCUCCGCAGGCCACCAACACCUACCCACUCUUCCCUUCUCAAGUGGUACCCCUUUCUGAGCCUCCUUUCCCUAACAGCCCUGUCCUUGACCACAGACACCCUAGACUCUCAGAGCCAAAAAUUCAUGUUGCCCACAGAUGAGGAAAGAGAAGCCCUGGGAGAUGUAUGCCACACCCAUGUCUCCCCAAAAUCAUAAAGGUACUGGGGACAGAAAAAGAAGCACGAGCAUUAAAAACAGGAAUAUUUUCCAAGCGUCGGUUCCAGGCACCAUUCCUGGCACUAGAGACCUAGCACUGACAGGAGUCAGUCCCUGCCCUCGUAGUGAUGGCAGUUUGGGAAAGAGGAGGCAUUUAGCAUGAAAACCACGGAACAAGAUAAUUUCAGAUUUCAGUGGCAGGUGUUCUUGACAAAACAGAAAAGUGAAAGGCUUGUGGGGCUGGACCGAUACCUCUCCAGGGAGGUGAGCUUUGGUCCCGGAUCCUCACCGCUCUUUCCAGGGUCCAGUAUGGUCCCUCACUUCACAGGGACAGUCCUGGGGCUCCCAACUGUAUUCUCCCCACAACUAGCAGAAGAGGGCAGGUGGGUACUCUUACUCCUAGAAGCAGGGGGUAUGUGGGGAAGAGAGAGAUUAGGCACCUGGCCUAGAGUCAAACCGGCAGGAACUAAUUCCUGAGCCCGGUGCGAUGUAGGCGGGAACGUUUUCAUUUUUCAUCCGCUAGGGAAGGGGCGGGGCCUUCCGUAGCCCCACCCCUUCCCGAAGCAGCGCGUCGUAACCUGUUGACCCAGGCAGGAGGCGGGGUGCGCGACAGGCCAGAAUAUCCGGAGCAGUGAAACAAGGUCGCUAUUGGCUCCCGCGGGGGGCGGGCGGAGCCUCCGUCUCCUGGUGCGCGCGCCGCGGGGAGGUGUUGCCGAGGUAGGAGCGGGAAGGGGCGUGGCCGCUCGCCGGUGGCCGUUGGUCACAC